Molecule: ribosomal RNA, 484 nt
Filed under: uncultured bacterium
Lineage: Bacteria
Description: partial 16S ribosomal RNA
Rfam family: Bacterial small subunit ribosomal RNA
Source: RNAcentral
AUUGAACGCUGGCGGCAGGCCUAACACAUGCAAGUCGAGCGGAUGAAGGGAGCUUGCUCCUGGAUUCAGCGGCGGACGGGUGAGUAAUGCCUAGGAAUCUGCCUGGUAGUGGGGGAUAACGUCCGGAAACGGGCGCUAAUACCGCAUACGUCCUGAGGGAGAAAGUGGGGGAUCUUCGGACCUCACGCCAUCAGAUGAGCCUAGGUCGGAUUAGCUAGUUGGUGGGGUAAAGGCCUACCAAGGCGACGAUCCGUAACUGGUCUGAGAGGAUGAUCAGUCACACUGGAACUGAGACACGGUCCAGACUCCUACGGGAGGCAGCAGUGGGGAAUAUUGGACAAUGGGCGAAAGCCUGACCCAGCCAUGCCGCGUGUGUGAAGAAGGUCUUCGGAUUGUAAAGCACUUUAAGUUGGGAGGAAGGGCAGUAAGUUAAUACCUUGCUGUUUUGACGUUACCAACAGAAUAAGCACCGGCUAACUUCGUG